RNAcentral lists this transfer RNA (75 nucleotides) under Candidatus Campbelliibacteriota bacterium. RNAcentral's name for it is "Candidatus Campbellbacteria bacterium tRNA-Val". It matches the Rfam family "tRNA". From Rfam's summary of the family: Transfer RNA (tRNA) molecules are approximately 80 nucleotides in length. Their secondary structure includes four short double-helical elements and three loops (D, anti-codon, and T loops). The record is from RNAcentral. Lineage: Bacteria; Candidatus Campbelliibacteriota.
GCGCCCUUAGCUCAGGGGUAGAGCGUUACAUUGACAUUGUAAAGGCCGUAGGUCCGAUUCCUACAGGGCGCACCA